RNAcentral lists this transfer RNA (64 nucleotides) under Gyna capucina. RNAcentral describes it as "tRNA-His". It matches the Rfam family "tRNA". From Rfam's summary of the family: Transfer RNA (tRNA) molecules are approximately 80 nucleotides in length. Lineage: Eukaryota; Metazoa; Arthropoda; Insecta; Blattodea; Blaberidae. The record is from RNAcentral.
ACUUAAGUAGUUUAAAGUAAAAUAUUGAUUUGUGGUGUCAGUGAUAUAAAUUUUAUCUUAGGUU